AAACUUUCAACAACGGAUCUCUUGGUUCUGGCAACGAUGAAGAACGCAGCGAAAAUGCGAUAAGUAAUGUGAAUUGCAGAAUUCAGUGAAUCAUCGAAUCUUUGAACGCACAUUGCGCCCCCCUGGUAUUCCGGGGGGCACACCUGUUCGAGCGCCAUU
This 159-nucleotide ribosomal RNA is filed under the name fungal endophyte sp. AP351. RNAcentral describes it as "5.8S ribosomal RNA". It matches the Rfam family "5.8S ribosomal RNA". From Rfam's summary of the family: 5.8S ribosomal RNA (5.8S rRNA) is a component of the large subunit of the eukaryotic ribosome. It is transcribed by RNA polymerase I as part of the 45S precursor that also contains 18S and 28S rRNA. Functionally, it is thought that 5.8S rRNA may be involved in ribosome translocation. Lineage: Eukaryota; Fungi. The record is from RNAcentral.